AGAGUUUGAUCAUGGCUCAGGAUGAACGCUAGCGGCAGGCUUAACACAUGCAAGUCGAGGGGUAACAGGAAAAAGCUUGCUUUUUCGCUGACGACCGGCGCACGGGUGCGUAACGCGUAUAGAACUUACCUUUUACAGAGGGAUAGCCUUUAGAAAUGAAGAUUAAUACCUCAUAGUACUGAAAUUCGGCAUCGAAAUUUAGUUAAAGAUUUAUCGGUAAAAGAUGGCUAUGCGUCCUAUUAGCUAGAUGGUAAGGUAACGGCUUACCAUGGCAACGAUAGGUAGGGGUCCUGAGAGGGAGAUCCCCCACACUGGUACUGAGACACGGACCAGACUCCUACGGGAGGCAGCAGUGAGGAAUAUUGGGCAAUGGAGGCAACUCUGACCCAGCCAUGCCGCGUGCAGGAAGAAUGCCCUAUGGGUUGUAAACUGCUUUUAUACAGGAAGAAACAGCUCUACGUGUAGAGCCUUGACGGUACUGUAAGAAUAAGGACCGGCUAACUCCGUGCCAGCAGCCGCGGUAAUACGGAGGGUCCAAGCGUUAUCCGGAAUCAUUGGGUUUAAAGGGUCCGCAGGCGGUCAAUUAAGUCAGAGGUGAAAUCCCGUCGCUCAACGACGGAACUGCCUUUGAUACUGGUUGACUUGAGUCAUAUGGAAGUAGAUAGAAUAAGUAGUGUAGCGGUGAAAUGCAUAGAGAUUACUUAGAAUACCGAUUGCGAAGGCAGUCUACUACGUAUGUACUGACGCUCAUGGACGAAAGCGUGGGGAGCGAACAGGAUUAGAUACCCUGGUAGUCCACGCCGUAAACGAUGGACACUAGUUGUUGGGAUUUAUCUCAGUGACUAAGCGAAAGUGAUAAGUGUCCCACCUGGGGAGUACGGUCGCAAGAUUGAAACUCAAAGGGAUUGACGGG
This 913-nucleotide ribosomal RNA is filed under the name uncultured bacterium. RNAcentral describes it as "bacterial SSU rRNA". It matches the Rfam family "Bacterial small subunit ribosomal RNA", at positions 8 to 917 of the family's 1533-position model. The record is from RNAcentral.